GUCUGUGUGGAAGUUUAUAUUUAGUCUGACCUGCCCACUGAAUUUUAAAGGGCUGCGGUAAAUUGACCGUGCAAAGGUAGCAUAGUCAUUAGUCUUUUAAUUGGAGACUUGGAUGAAAGGUUUGACGGAAUAAAGACUAUCUUUUUGGUUUUUAUUGAAUUUAACUUUUGUGUGAAAAGGCAUAAAUGAUUUGGAGGGACGAUAAGACCCUAUAAAACUUUACAUAUUAUAUUAUUUAGUUAAAUUGUUAUAUUAUUAUUAAGUUAUUAAUUGUGUUUUACUGGGGCAGUAUAAAAUAAUUGUAAUUGUUUGGUGUAUAAAAUAUAAAUUAAUAUAUAAUGGUCCUUAAUUAAAGAGAAAAGAUCAAGUUACUUUAGGGAUAACAGCAUAAUUUCUUUAGAGAGUUCUUAUCGAAAAAGUUAGUUGUGACCUCGAUGUUGAAUUAAAUUUUCCUUCAAAUGUAGGAGUUUGGAAAUAAAAGGGAAGGGCCUGUUCGGCC
This 499-nucleotide ribosomal RNA is filed under the name Synalpheus anasimus. RNAcentral describes it as "partial 16S ribosomal RNA". It matches the Rfam family "Bacterial large subunit ribosomal RNA", at positions 1829 to 2586 of the family's 2925-position model. The record is from RNAcentral. Lineage: Eukaryota; Metazoa; Arthropoda; Malacostraca; Decapoda; Alpheidae.